AUCUUUUUGUAGUUCAUAAUGUGAUGAUUGGGUGUUCGCGCUCUUGUGUGACAAGUGCCUCCCACAAGCCUUGUUACGACAUCGGCACAUUAUCCGCCUGACA
This is a small nucleolar RNA of Pteronotus mesoamericanus, 103 nucleotides long. RefSeq annotates it as small nucleolar RNA U13. Lineage: Eukaryota; Metazoa; Chordata; Mammalia; Chiroptera; Mormoopidae. The record is from RefSeq and is a predicted model, not a curated record. The transcript has a single exon.